This 107-nucleotide small nuclear RNA is filed under the name Tupaia belangeri chinensis (Chinese tree shrew). The record is from RNAcentral. Lineage: Eukaryota; Metazoa; Chordata; Mammalia; Scandentia; Tupaiidae.
CUGCUCGCUUUGGCAGCACAUAUACUAAAGUUGGAACAAUACAGAGAAGAUUAGCAUGGCUCCUGCAGAAGGAUGACACACAAAUUUAUGAAGCGUUCUAUAUUUUU